UGGGGUGCUCGAGUGGCGAACGGGUGAGUAACACGUGAGUAACCUGCCCUUGACUUUGGGAUAACUUCAGGAAACUGGGGCUAAUACCGGAUAGGAGCUCCUGCUGCAUGGUGGGGGUUGGAAAGUUUCGGCGGUUGGGGAUGGACUCGCGGCUUAUCAGCUUGUUGGUGGGGUAGUGGCUUACCAAGGCUUUGACGGGUAGCCGGCCUGAGAGGGUGGCCGGCCACAUUGGGACUGAGAUACGGCCCGG
RNAcentral lists this ribosomal RNA (250 nucleotides) under uncultured Actinomycetales bacterium. RNAcentral describes it as "partial 16S ribosomal RNA". It matches the Rfam family "Bacterial small subunit ribosomal RNA", at positions 83 to 334 of the family's 1533-position model. Lineage: Bacteria; Bacillati; Actinomycetota; Actinomycetes; Actinomycetales. The record is from RNAcentral.